This 3243-nucleotide long non-coding RNA is filed under the name Homo sapiens (human). Its description in RNAcentral is "HSALNT0193980". The record is from RNAcentral. Lineage: Eukaryota; Metazoa; Chordata; Mammalia; Primates; Hominidae.
GAUUAACCUAACUCAGAACACUAAUUCAGCUACUACCUUUCUGUGUAUUUAUUCAGUUUCCCCAGGAUGCAGUACUUUGAACAAACCAUGGAUUCCAGAAAAGACAUCUGUUUCCAUCAAGAACUAACAUGGAAUAAUAACAAAGAAGAUGUGGCCACAUGCUCUCAGGUAGAAACUGAAGGUCAAAGAAGAGAUAUGAGAAGGAGUUUUCCCAUCAAGGGAGGUCCUUUUCUGAUGGAUGACUAAGCCCUGAGAAAUGCUUAGAAAUAGGCAAGAGGGGAUGAAUGCUGCUCUACAUUCAGUUAUCAGAAUGGCACCUUAAAAUUAUGGUCAUAAAGGAACCUGUGAUUGGCCAUACGUUUGAGUUUUCAAGAAGAGAUCUUACACGGAACAUGAGAAAACUACAGUGACUCUCUUGAGAUUUUUCGAAUGACACACAAGCACCAAAGAGGAACUUUUGCCUUUUCGGACAAGUUAAGUACAUUAAAUAUAAUAAGGUCUGAUAAAUCAGAAACAAAAAGUGAAAUUCAUGUUAAGGCCUCAACUCAGUGUUUUAGAAGAGAAUUUUUCUGGGUUUUAUAGUAUCUGACAGUUAAUAGGCCAGGCACAGUGGCUCACACCUGUAGUCUCAGCACUUUAGAAGACAGAGACAAGUGGAUCUCUUGAGCCCAGGAGUUCGAGAACAGCCUGGGCAAUAUUGUGAGGCCCCCAUCUCUACUAAAAAUAACAAAAUCAGCUAUUAGCUGGGCAUGAUGGCAUGCAUCUGUGGUCCUAGCUACCGGGGAGGCUGAGGUGGGAGGAUUGCUUGAGCCUGGGAGGCAGAGUUUGCAGUGAGCCAUGAUUGCACCACUGCAUUCCAGCCUGGGUGACAGAAUGAGACCUUUUCUCAAAAAGAUAAAAAAUAAAUAAAAAAUUAAAGGAAUCCAGUUAACAGUUGUCGCAGGAUGUUAAAGAAUCAGGCUUUAUGGUUUUAAUCAUUACAUAUUCCAGAGGUAAAAUUCUGAGGAAAUCAUUUUUAUGGGUUUAACAGCCAUUCAUACUAUUCUUUAAUGAACAGAGAUUCUGCCACGGAAGAAAGGCUAUUGCAAUUGUCUAGUUUGAGGUUGAUAAAAUUUCUUUUUGACUGGAAAAGAGAAAUUUCCAGUGAAAGGUGAUUUCUUGGCCGGGCACAGUGGCUCAUGCCUGUAAUCCCAGCACUCUGGGAGGCAGAGGCAGGUGGACCACCUGAGGUCAGCGGUUCGAGACCAGCCUGGCCAACAUGGCGAAACCUCGUCUCUACUAAAAAUACAAAAAUUAGCUGGGCGUGUUGGUGGGCACCUGUAAUCCCAGCUACUUGAGAUACUGAGGCACAAGAAUCACUUGAACCUGGGAGGCAAAGGCUGCAGUGAGCGGAGACUGUGGCACUGCACUCCAGCCUGGGCCACAGAGUGAGAUACUGUCUUAAAAAAAAAAAAAAAAAAAAAGAAAGGUGAUUUCUUUACACAGUAGGAACCGGGGGCAAUUAACUUUCGGGCACUUACUUGUACUCAAUUAAUAAUUGAUAUAUAAAUGAAUGUAUCAAAGGCAUCCUGGGAGAUCCCCACAAAUCUGAAACUGCCUACAACAUCCUCCCAAUUUGAUCGGAAUAACUUAAUUGUACUAGGCCUUAGGUUCUGUAAGAAUCCAAAGUGGUGUAAGGUAAGUUUUAUCUGGAAUAGACAGUACAAAUAACAUAGUUCUCCAAAGAAUACAUAAUAUACAAUUGAUGAUGGUAGAAAGUAGAACAAUGGGAAGUGGUUACUCCUUAAGAAUAAUACUUGCUUUCUCCAAAAGGGCUCACUGAGCCACCCAGCAUAUUCCAAGAGUCUAAACAAGGACCGUUGACUAAUUACUUCCAUUAGACUUCCUCUUCGAGAUCCAAAGUUACAUCUGUCCUUCCUCCUUCUCCUUAGAAGAACCAGCUCUCCCAAGAUCUAAGAAGAAAACUCCCAGAAUUAGGCCACGAGGGAGGCUUAUAUGCAAUCAAACUAACCCCAGUGAAAAUGAAAUCACAGUUAGGAGAAGAAGAAAGGACCAGAAUAGUUCAUGAAUUGCCGUACUCCUUACUCUUCUAAUGUAAACAAUAUUAAAAUGCAAUUAUUUCACUAAGGAAAGCUUUUCAAGGUACAGUUCCUUUAAGAAUCAGUUCUGCUGGUAAGGGAACCAAAAAAAUCUCUGUACUUCCUCAAUGGAUUUUAAAUAUAUCAGUAACUCUUCUUGCCCCAAUCCCCAUCAUCCAAAUUUACACUAACCAAAGAAUUUAUGGGUAUAAAAUUACUGUCCUGGGUGGAGGAACUCCUACACAGAAUAGCAACAUGCUUUUAUAGCAAAAGAAGAUGAUGGAGUCUUUAGCAUCCAUGCUGUUUUAUUCAGAAAGAAAAAAAUAUAUAUUGGGGGGGUGGGGGCUGAAGUUAAAGAUAUAUUUUCCUCUUUGCAGCUCUAUAAUUUCAUUCCCCAUAAAAGAGUGAAUCAGACUGAGUUGUCAAAUGAAAAGUAAACUUCAUCGCCUUUGCGAUCAGAAUAAUUUAAUUAGCUUUAUUGGCUCUUACAGGCUGUCACCUUAUUUAUUGGUUUUUCAGCUUUCUUCUCAUUUUCAAUUAGGCUUUAAAAAAACAAAUGCAAAAUCAUUCACUAAAUUCAGAAUAAUUAAAACAAUAUUGUGUUUCCAGUUUGGAAACAUGGUAGAAUGUAUUGCUUCUGGGUACACUUCGGAGAGGUUAAAGUGACAGAGCAGAUAAAAAGGACACUUAGUACACACGUAAAUCAUUUGCAUUACAAAUAAGAUACUUUAGCAGGGGUUGGACUCCCUGCCUGACAGUCAGGAUUAAGUUCCCAUAUUAAUACAUGCAUUUGGUGUGGUUAUUUUGGGUGAAAGACUUCAUCCAUCAAUGCCCUCUGCCACUAAGUAAGGCCAACCUGUAAACUGAUCACCACAGCCUGUCAACACUGGUUACUUAAUUAUAUAAAGAAAAUAUGUUUAAAAGACUUUUGAUAAUUUGGUUAGUAUUUCAACAUCUUUUUCAAGGUUCCUUAAAAUAAUAGCUAAAGCAUUUUUAAGAAUUAAAAACUGAAAACUAUGACUAUUUUUAUGUUUCCUGCUAAUCUUUCUUUUUCUUUUAUUUGCAGAAGGGAAAAAUAAAGAUUCAGUAAGCAUUAAUGAAGAUGAAUAUAAAUGAAAUAAUAUUUUUAAAAGAUAUUUUAAUUAAAAAUUAAAUUCAAUGCAUG